UACGGAGGGGGCAAGCGUUAUUCGGAAUUAUUGGGCGUAAAGGGCGCGUAGGCGGCUUUGCAAGUGAGGGGUGAAAGCCCUCGGCUUAACCGAGGAACUGCCUGUGAGACUGUAAGGCUUGAGUCCGGGAGAGGUGAGUGGAAUUCCCAGUGUAGCGGUGAAAUGCGUAGAUAUUGGGAGGAACACCAGUGGCGAAGGCGGCUCGCUGGACCGGAACUGACGCUGAGGCGCGAAAGCGUGGGGAGCAAACAGG
Molecule: ribosomal RNA, 253 nt
Filed under: uncultured bacterium
Lineage: Bacteria
Description: partial 16S ribosomal RNA
Rfam family: Bacterial small subunit ribosomal RNA
Source: RNAcentral